UCACUCCAGAGUCCUACACGUCCAAGGACCUGCGCGCAGACACGCUCUGAACAGCCCGUCACGGACGCCUUUCUCCAUUGGAGAUUUCCUUAGGGCAUCUUUUGGAUUAUUUUUCAUUCAAGACUUUCAGAACAGAGAAAAAGCAGUGCGCUUUCACUUGUCCUCAGAGACAAGCAGCUGUUUUUAAUGUGUGGUUUCUCUUUGCAUUGGGUCAAAGUGUGAAGUCUUUUUUUUUUUUUUUUUUUUGCUAAGGUGAAGGACAAGUGCAAUGUGCGCUAGACUUGUUUAUUGGAUUUGCCUCACGCGUGCGUAAGGAAGGUAUAUGCUGUGGAGGAGCACAGGGCUUUUUCCAAGAGGACGCAGCUCAAUGUGAAUAAAAAGAAAACUGCUCAGCCCGAGAGUUUCAAGCAAGUACAAGCAGCGCGUCUGGCCGAGCUGCUCUGACUACACCGUUUCCCUCCCUGAGGGGAUGGUUGUGGAUCCUCUGGAGCCAGGAGCGAGUCAGGGGCUCCUACGCGGCAGCACAUUUUUCGUGUUUGAGGGAGACUUUACAGUAAAAGGAGAUGAGAGCCACAAUUUGCUGCUUCCUUCUGUGGACGACGUACCUGCUGGCCACUGCUGAGAAGGAAGUGGAGUUUCCCCAGGAGCUGAUCGAUCGACUCUCCAACAGUGAAAUCCACAGCAUCAGCGACCUCCAGCGGUUACUGGAGAUUGACUCCGUAGGUACGGGAAACGAUGUUGUUGAGGAGCAUAAGCACCACAAGCACCACAACCACCAUAAGAACUCGUCCCAUCAUCAUGGUUACUACAACGAACUGAAAAGCUCCCAGCUGCACAGCCGACGCAAGAGGAGCAUUGUCGAAGAGGCCGUCCCGGCAGCAUGCAAGACGCGGACGGUGAUCUACGAGAUCCCCCGGAGCCAGGUGGAUCCCACAUCUGCCAACUUCCUGAUAUGGCCGCCCUGUGUGGAGGUGAAGCGCUGCACAGGAUGCUGCAACACCAGCAACAUGCGCUGUCACCCUUCCCGCAAGCACCACCGCACCGUUAAGGUAGCCAAGGUGGAGUACGUGAGGAGGAGACCCAAGCUGAAGGAGGUCUUUGUGAGGUUAGAGGACCACCUGGAGUGUGUGUGCACAUCGCAACAUCAUGUGGUAGAACACUUAGAUGCAGAAACAGGCCAUCGUAGGGUUAAAGGUAAAAAAAGGAAACCUAAAAAGCUAAGGCCCACCAAGGACUUAUUGGUGACAUAAUUAAGGUGCUCUUAUUACCCAAAGUCCACUGCAAGGCUGUGACAGGACACAGCAGAUGUGAGGUGAGACCUCCCAGACUUAGGGGCAGCAUUACAGGAUGGACCUAAACCAGAAGAGGACACCAUCUUCUUUGUCUGUCUCUCCACCCAUCAUGCAAACAUUGAUUAAGGAAAAUAUACUUCAAAAGUCUUGAGACUGAAAAGUAGACAACAGACUAAAAUACAGAAUGCCAAAUGUGCUUUCAAAACUAGUAAUGAUGAGGGCAACUGAACUACGAUUACGAAGAAAAAAAGAUGCCAUGAAGCUCAGACUUCAAGAAGAUGGAAGGAAUUUGGGAUGAACAAUUCAAAAGACACGCAAAAGGAAAGUAGACUGUGGGAUCAGACUUUUUUUCUGAGAAUCCAGUGCUAUAACUCAAAGUGCCCUGUUUGUAUAAAAAACUGUUGCAUUCAUAAGAAGAAAGCAAAAGGAAGAUUGGUAUAAAGAUGCAAGGAAACAGAUUGGGAGUGUUCGUUUUGCAGAACUAUAAGAGGCAGCAGACAUUGUGACUGGUGGACAAUUUGUUCUAAUUAAGGAAGAAACAGCCUCAGAGACUUCCAGUUUUGAAAUUGCCUUACCUGCUUGUACAUAUAAAUCUACAAAAAAAAAAAAAAAACGGAGGAUGCGCCGCUGCUUACAAACUAUUUAUGCGUGUGGACAUUUGCUUUUGUCACUUUCAAUCUUCGCGAAAGGACAAAAAAAUAUGUUUUUAUUAAUUCCCGCAGACAUACUGGUAUGUUUGGUGCAGUCCUUUGCUUUCACUAGUAUCACAAUCUCAGUGUCAUUUUUGUUUUUUACCAGUUGUUUUUUGUUGUUUUUUUCCAUCGUCAACCAUGUUUCGUAUUAUAUUGCAGUAUAUCUGAUUGAUGUCAAGUUUUGCAUAUGGUUCAGAUGUAUGUGUGCAAGGAGGAGAUGUGAGAGUCAGUAAAGGAAGAUGUUUUAUUUUUGUUAUGAAAUAUAUUAUGCAUACUUAUAUCCAAGCAGGAAUGAUGUUUUCUUUAUUUUCUUUUGGAAAACAAUGCAAAUAAUUUUAGAAGAUGGUUAAAUUGGUAAGGUUGAAAUCUGUUUGCAUCACUGUUGUGCAAAGGGUAUAAAAAAGGAGAAUCAAUAGCUAGUAGUGGCUUAUAUUUCCUUAUGCUGCAGUCAUGUUUCAUUUUUGAGACAAACAAACAAGCAAAUAUCACAUAGAUUUCACAAUACGUUGAUGACAAUUGCAUAACUACACCAGAAAAGGUACCACAGUGUGCAGAUCUAAGUAAACAUGUGGUUGGAGCUGGGUCUGUGUCCUUACAAUGAAGCAAUAUUUGGUGUCUUAAACUCAUGUUCAAGAUUCACUUUCAUUGGAUUUAGUUUCGCAUAUUUAAAUCCUUUGUCUCUAAAUCCAUAGUUUCCAUUAAGCCAGUCAAGAAAAUGCUACAGUUUGGUGAGCUGAAUCCACAUUGCGGUCAUCUAUAUGACAUCCAUGUCAGAAGUGAAAGAUGUGGACUUGUGUUGAAUUAAAGAUACAUUCCUUGUUUUGUGUAAGCAUACCAGUAGAUAAAAAAUCUGUUAAUGAAUGCUGAAGACAUAAAUGCAGCAGAGACUCAUUAUCCAGUACAAAUAUAACCAGAGCUACAGUAGGAUGGAAUGUUUUUGAUCAAAGCACAUUUAUUUUCUGAAAUGGCCCAUGCAAAGUGGAGAAUCCAGUUAAGAAUCCUUGACUAAACUAGAAUACUGACUUUCUUGUUAGUUUCCAGGGAUGCCUGGAAACUAACGAAUUUCCCCCUCAACCCCCCCAUAAAAUUAUACCAUAACAUUGAUCUUAUUAUGGUAUGCAAAAUGUAUCUAAAUUCAACAGAAACAUUUGGUUAGAGGUAUUUUAUAUCCAUAUCAUAAAACACAACUAUAUAAGUCACUGAAGUCCUUUUUCUUUUUUUUUUUUUUUACACAUAUUUUUUAGUGAUUGUUUUCUGCAAGCUGAAAGUCCCUGUCUUCAAAUAAAUUCAAGGUUAAAUUAA
Molecule: RNA transcript, 3286 nt
Organism: Poeciliopsis prolifica (blackstripe livebearer)
Lineage: Eukaryota; Metazoa; Chordata; Actinopteri; Cyprinodontiformes; Poeciliidae
Gene: pdgfab
Gene name: platelet-derived growth factor alpha polypeptide b
Exons: 7
Source: RefSeq, a predicted model, not a curated record